Molecule: long non-coding RNA, 1936 nt
Organism: Oncorhynchus gorbuscha (pink salmon)
Lineage: Eukaryota; Metazoa; Chordata; Actinopteri; Salmoniformes; Salmonidae
Exons: 3
Source: RefSeq, a predicted model, not a curated record
CUGCACCCGCCCACUCUAGCUCAGAGUGUUUACGUGGUUCCAAGAAGAAGACGCAAGUUUUGGUUUUUCAUUGUGUUUACUAAGAAGAUUGUGCGUGCAUCCAAGAAAAACCACAAGUCCAUUUCUAACUGUAACCACAAAGAUACUUCAAUGAUGUGUGGGUUUGUGCAGCUGUGUGGUGGUGACCUAGAGAAUAAAGCUCUGGAUAUGAAAACAUCUGCCUGGUUUCUGCCGGACUGCCUGUAGUGGGUCAGACCAAAGUACAGCUAGCGUUAAGUCAUUAGCUGCUGAGGGUUCAGAAGCCAACCGCUCCGAUGGCUCCAGCUGGACGUUUUUAUACCCAGUGACUCGUUAACAAGGAUUUCUGGGAUCGUACACUCCCAAUUAUUGUGCAUGAACUUAAACUGAUAUUUUCUGGUGUCUGACCUGCAUGACACUUGCACUUGGAAAGAGGAGACGUCAUAGCGUCACGUCAAUACACACCCAACCAACUAGCUAGUACCACUUACGUUGGGGCGGGAAUAUUUGAAUUGCAGUGUCAGUUGGCUAGAGAGAUCCCUAGAUCCGUAGACACCUCCGUAGAGAUCCACUCACUGCCUGUCCGCAACAUUAGCUGUGAUUUCAACGAGAAGACUUCAACAAGACUUUCAGCAAAGUCGACAUCGAAGGACUUCAAAAGAACCAUGUUCUAGGCACAAUUUACACAGUAGGUCUUACGUUAGUGUGGUGGUUGUACAUUUCAAUUCAUUUACUAGCUAGCUACUUUGUGUUAAGCAAGAGUUUAGGGGUUAGUUGUUGCAAGGUGAUUGAAUGCCUUAUAAAAUAAGCUGUUCAUCAAGGUAAUAAGACUUACGAGCACACUGUGUCCUAUUGCAAGGAAGUGAUGUCUUUUGUUUUUGUGAGUGUAGGGUAAAACUUGUGAUCGAUAUUGAAGCAUAGAGGUGUUUUAUGGAGACAUGAACAAUUAUUCUACUCAAUAUCCCUACACCCCAGUCUCCUCUGCUACCUCCCAGGGAGGAGGAAUACCCUGAACUCCUCGUUCUCACAGGACUCGGGCUAGUACGCUGUUGCCAGACAUGUUGGAUACAACACUGGGUCGUUGACCAGCAGUGGUUACCCUCCCCAGGAAAUGUUGCCCUCCUGCUCCUCCUCUGCUGUCUCUUCCUCAGCCGGGGCAUGCAAAGCUCCCUGUUACCCAGAGGACCCCCAUGCACCUCCUCAAAACAGCUAUCACAUGGGUCGCCCACGUACCCCCCAACAAAUACUGCCCCCUUAUAUCCUAAUGAGCCCCAGGUCUACCCCACAUAUGCGAUGCCACCCCCUUCACUCCAGGACGAGCAGCCCCCUCUGGCAGACAAAAUGAACUAUUUGUAGAACAUUGCAUAGGAAUUGUGUGUUGUGUUGGAUUUGCCCCAAACAUACUGUAAGAAUUUGUGUUUAAGACAAAAAGUUAAUUAAUUUUCCGUGUUCAGUUCAGAAGGAUGACUAUCUUUGAUGUGUCUGGGUUGUUUAAUACAUAAUGCAAAGCAUAAUUAUUAACUUGACCAUGCUUAAAGCGAUAUUCAAUGUUUGUUAUUGUUAACCAUUUUAUUGUUCUGCCAUUUUGAUGAGGCUUUUGAAAAGGUCCCUGGUCGUUGUAGUUGCAUCUAGCUUGAAAAUCAAUACCUGACUGAGGGACCUUAUAGGGAAGGACACUCAACAUGCACAGCACUUACACAAAUGACUGAUGAUUGGCUGAGGGAAAUUGAUGAUAAAAUUAUUGUGGAGGCUGUCUUGUUAGACUUCAGUGCAGAUUUACAUGUUUGAUCAUAGUCCACUGCUGGAAAAAGUGGAUAAAGUGUUACUUGCCUAACAGAACACAGAGGCUGUUAUUUAAUGGAAGCUUCAAAUAUAAUCCAGUUAGAAUCAGGAAUUCCCCAGGGUAGCUGUUUAGGCC